ACUACGGGGGGCUGCAGUGGGGAAUAUUGGGCAAUGGACGCAAGUCUGACCCAGCAACGCCGCGUGAAGGAAGAAGGCUUUCGGGUUGUAAACUUCUUUUAAGGGGGAAGAGCAGAAGACGGUACCCCUUGAAUAAGCCACGGCUAACGACGUGCCAGCAGACGCGGUAAUACGGGGGUGGCAAGCGUUGUCCGGAUUUACUGGGUUUAAAGGGCGGGAAGCCGGAGGGAAAAGUCAGAUGUGAAAUCCGCAGGCUCAACCUGCGAACUUCAUUUGAAACUUUUUCCCUUGCGUAUCGGAGAGGUCAUCGUAAUUCCUAGUGUAGCGGUGACAUUCGUAGCUAUUAGGAAGCACCCCAGUGGCGACGGCGGCUGACUGGACGACACCUGACGGUGCGGCGCGAAAGCGUGGGGAGCAAACAGGAUUAGAUACCCCUGUAGUC
This 442-nucleotide ribosomal RNA is filed under the name uncultured bacterium. RNAcentral describes it as "partial 16S ribosomal RNA". It matches the Rfam family "Bacterial small subunit ribosomal RNA", at positions 338 to 795 of the family's 1533-position model. The record is from RNAcentral.